Molecule: ribosomal RNA, 239 nt
Filed under: uncultured bacterium
Lineage: Bacteria
Description: partial 16S ribosomal RNA
Rfam family: Bacterial small subunit ribosomal RNA
Source: RNAcentral
GAUCCUGGCUCAGGAUGAACGCUAGCUACAGGCUUAACACAUGCAAGUCGAGGGGCAGCAUGACGAUAGCUUGCUAUUGUUGAUGGCGACCGGCGCACGGGUGAGUAACGCGUAUCCAACCUUCCCGUUGCUAGGGGAUAACCUUGCGAAAGUAAGACUAAUACCCUAUGAAGUUCUUCGCAGGCAUCUAAAGAGAACGAAAGAUUUAUCGGCAACGGAUGGGGAUGCGUCUGAUUAGG